AUAAUAAUUAAUUUACUUUAUUUCUUUUUUUUUCUCUUUUUAUAGAAAUAACUUCUUUUUUAGUAGGUUUUACAGAAAUAAUAUUUUUUGUGGUAGUUAAUUAGUACUGUGAGGGAUUAUUUAUUUAUUUAUUAAAAGGAGAUUUAAUUUGUUGUACCUUUUGUAUCAGGGAUAAUUAAUUAUUUUUAUUUAUUUAAUUUUCCCGAAAUUAGGGGAGAUAUUAUUGUAUGUUAGUUAAUGUUUCAUAAUUAUUAAUAAUUCAAUAAUAGUAAUGAAAAGUUAUUCGUUCUUAAAUAUCUGGUUUUUCAGGAAUUGAAUUCAAUUCAGAGUUAUUUUUAUUUAUAUUCUAAAUUUAAUUAGAUUAUGAUUUUUAUAGCUUAAGGAUUUUGGGGAUAAGCUCAGGAUUUUUUUUAUAAUUUUAUUUUUUUGUUUAGUUUUUGUAGGCUUGGAAUCAGCCAUCAUUAAUUUCGUUAUAGAUUAUUCUUUUUUUUUAUUUAUUUGUUUAAAUUUAAUUUAUUACUGAAUUAUAUUAAUUAAUUUUAUAUUAUUAGUAAUAAUGAUUGUAUUAGUAUAUUUGAUAGUUGAAUUAUAGGAAUUCGGCAAAUAUUGUGUCCGCCUGUUUAACAAAAACAUGUCCUUUUGGUUGUUUAUAUUAGGUUUGACCUGCCCAAUGAGUUUUUUAAUGGCCGCGGUAUAUUAACCGUGCUAAGGUAGCAUAAUCACUUGUCUUUUAAUUGAGGGCUUGUAUGAAUGGUCGGACGAGGCACAAACUUUCUUUACUUCAAUUUUAAAAUUUAUCUUUUUAGUUAAAAGACUAAAAUAAUUCUGAGGGACGAGAAGACCCUAUAGAUCUUUAUAUAAAUAGAAUUUUAGAUUUUUUAGGAUAUUAUUAGUUUAAUUUUUAUUUGUAUUUGAUUGGGGUGAUUGCGGAAAAUUUAUAACUUCUGUUUUAUGUGUUCAUUGAUUAGUGUUUAAAUGAUCCAUUAUUAAUGAUUAUAAGAUUAAGUUACCUUAGGGAUAACAGCGUAAUUUUUUCGGAGAGUUCAUAUCGAUGAAGGAGUUUGCGACCUCGAUGUUGGAUUAAAAUAAGUGUUAGGUGUAGCAAUUUAAUGACUAGGUCUGUUCGACCUUUAAUUUUUUACAUGAUCUGAGUUCAGACCGGCGUAAGCCAGGUCAGUUUCUAUCUUCAGUUUUUAUUUAUAUUUUAGUACGAAAGGACCGAAUAUAAGAAAAAAUUUUUGCUUGGCUGAUUAAUAUUACUAUUUUGGCAGAUUAGUGCAG
RNAcentral lists this ribosomal RNA (1281 nucleotides) under Catamiarus brevipennis. RNAcentral describes it as "16S ribosomal RNA". The stretch from base 826 to 1190 matches the Rfam family "Bacterial large subunit ribosomal RNA", at positions 2073 to 2647 of the family's 2925-position model. Lineage: Eukaryota; Metazoa; Arthropoda; Insecta; Hemiptera; Reduviidae. The record is from RNAcentral.